RNAcentral lists this non-coding RNA (26 nucleotides) under Homo sapiens (human). Lineage: Eukaryota; Metazoa; Chordata; Mammalia; Primates; Hominidae. The record is from RNAcentral.
UCCCCCGUGCAGAGACAAUGACCAGC